UACGUAGGUGGCAAGCGUUGUCCGGAAUGACUGGGCGUAAAGGGAGCGUAGGCGGCGCAGUAAGUUAGGAGUGAAAUCCCGUGGCUUAACCAUGGAACUGCUUUUAAAACUGCUGUGCUUGAGUGAUGGAGAGGAAAGCGGAAUUCCUAGUGUAGCGGUGGAAUGCGUAGAUAUUAGGAGGAACACCAGAGGCGAAGGCGGCUUUCUGGACAUUAACUGACGCUGAGGCUCGAAAGCGUGGGGAGCAAACAGG
Molecule: ribosomal RNA, 253 nt
Filed under: uncultured bacterium
Lineage: Bacteria
Description: partial 16S ribosomal RNA
Rfam family: Bacterial small subunit ribosomal RNA
Source: RNAcentral